GGGAGCCCCAGCACGGAGUUGGGCCCAAAAAUCUUCUUUUUGCUGAUCUGGAUAUUAGUGAAGAUGCAAGGUCUCAGAUUCCAGCUAUAAGCAGUUCUCCUGUGCCAGGUGAUGUCAUACAAUUGGCUUCUUCCACUGAUUCUUCCAAACAACCAUUAGCUGAUUCUCUGCCUUGUGGAAAUGUUGCUGCUUUGGGAGCUGUGGAGUUGACUGAAGCCAGCACUUCCCAGCCAGCUAGCUGCAAAGAAGUUGAGAACCCUGUUUCAACUGUUCCCAAGGAAGCAUUCUUGGUUGCUACACCCUCUAAUGAUGUAGAAUCGCCAGCUGCAGAUUGUAAAGGAUUGAUAAAGGAAAUAAAGAGGUAUUGUGUAA
This 372-nucleotide long non-coding RNA is filed under the name Pelusios castaneus (West African mud turtle). Its description in RNAcentral is "lncRNA (ENSPCEG00000015069.1)". Lineage: Eukaryota; Metazoa; Chordata; Testudines; Pelomedusidae. The record is from RNAcentral.